GAUGAACGCUGACAGAAUGCUUAACACAUGCAAGUCUACUUGAACUUCGGUUUGGGUGGCGGACGGGUGAGUAACGCGUAAAGAACUUGCCUCACAGUUAGGGACAACAUUUGGAAACGAAUGCUAAUACCAGAUAUUAUGAUUUUAGGGCAUCCUAGGAUUAUGAAAGCUAUAUGUGCUGUGAGAGAGCUUUGCGUCCCAUUAGCUAGUUGGAGAGGUAACGGCUCACCAAGGCGAUGAUGGGUAGCCGGCCUGAGAGGGUGAACGGCCACAAGGGGACUGAGACACGGCCCUUACUCCUACGGGAGGCAGCAGUGGGGAAUAUUGGACAAUGGACCAAAAGUCUGAUCCAGCAAUUCUGUGUGCACGAUGACGUUUUUCGGAAUGUAAAGUGCUUUCAGUUGGGAAGAAAAAAAUGACGGUACCAACAGAAGAAGUGACGGCUAAAUACGUG
RNAcentral lists this ribosomal RNA (454 nucleotides) under uncultured bacterium. Its description in RNAcentral is "partial 16S ribosomal RNA". It matches the Rfam family "Bacterial small subunit ribosomal RNA", at positions 28 to 507 of the family's 1533-position model. The record is from RNAcentral.